This 498-nucleotide ribosomal RNA is filed under the name uncultured bacterium. RNAcentral describes it as "partial 16S ribosomal RNA". It matches the Rfam family "Bacterial small subunit ribosomal RNA", at positions 29 to 523 of the family's 1533-position model. The record is from RNAcentral.
AGCGAACGCUGGCGGUAUGCCUUACACAUGCAAGUCGAACGGUAACAGGUCUUCGGAUGCUGACGAGUGGCGAACGGGUGAGUAAUACAUCGGAACGUGCCUAGUAGUGGGGGAUAACUACUCGAAAGAGUGGCUAAUACCGCAUGAGAUCUACGGAUGAAAGCAGGGGAUCGCAAGACCUUGUGCUACUAGAGCGGCCGAUGGCAGAUUAGGUAGUUGGUGGGAUAAAAGCUUACCAAGCCGACGAUCUGUAGCUGGUCUGAGAGGACGAUCAGCCACACUGGGACUGGGACACGGCCCAGACUCCUACGGGAGGCAGCAGUGGGGAAUUUUGGACAAUGGGCGAAAGCCUGAUCCAGCAAUGCCGCGUGCAGGAUGGAGGCCUUCGGGUUGUAAACUGCUUUUGUACGGAACGAAAAGCCCCGGGUUAAUACCCUGGGGUCAUGACGGUACCGUAAGAAUAAGCACCGGCUAACUACGUGCCAGCCGCCGCCGUAA